UGAAUGAGGUCAUGUUUUCAUGUACACAUUAGAAUGGAAUGUUGAUUACCUCAUAUUGAAUGAUUUUGUUUUUGAGAUACAAUAUCAGAAGGUAGAGACAGGUUGUAGUAACACCCUAACCAUUUGGAUGCGAGGUGUUACAAGGAAGCUUUGGAGAAGAUUUGUACCAGCAAAAUCUUACAGGACCUAAGACCAUGUUGCACUCCUUUCCACUCAAUAAGGCUUCACUUAUGCCAUCUAUACCAAAAUCGUUAUCCAUGAUUUAUGUUUCAUCUUUUGUUUCCUUUUCGUUUGUUUUGAGAAAUAGAUCGAUCAAUUCCGAUUUUUUC
RNAcentral lists this long non-coding RNA (329 nucleotides) under Carica papaya (papaya). RNAcentral describes it as "long non-coding RNA (CPAP_LNC000994)". The record is from RNAcentral. Lineage: Eukaryota; Viridiplantae; Streptophyta; Magnoliopsida; Brassicales; Caricaceae.